AGGAGCCGAAGAAGGACGGGACUAACACCGAUAUGCUUUGGGGAGCUGUACGUAAGCGUUGAUCCAGAGAUUUCCGAAUGGGGGAACCCACUAUCUUUAGUCGGAUAGUAUCCUUACGUGAAUACAUAGCGUGAGGAAGGCAGACCCAGGGAACUGAAACAUCUAAGUACCUGGAGGAAGAGAAAGAAAAAUCGAUUUCCUGAGUAGCGGCGAGCGAAACGGAAAGAGCCCAAACCAAGAAGCUUGCUUCUUGGGGUUGUAGGACACUCUAUACGGAGUUACAAAAGAAAGUUAUAAAUGAAGCGGUCUGGAAAGGCCCGCCAAAGACGGUAACAGCCCGGUAGUUGAAAUGGCUUUCCCUCCAGAGUGGAUCCUGAGUACGGCGGAACACGUGAAAUUCCGUCGGAAUCCGGGAGGACCAUCUCCCAAGGCUAAAUACUCCCUAGUGACCGAUAGUGAACCAGUACCGUGAGGGAAAGGUGAAAAGCACCCCGGAAGGGGAGUGAAACAGUUCCUGAAACCGUGUGCCUACAAGUAGUUAGAGCCCGUUAAUGGGUGAUAGCGUGCCUUUUGUAGAAUGAACCGGCGAGUUACGAUUUGUUGCAAGGUUAAGCGGAAAAAGCGGAGCCGUAGCGAAAGCGAGUCUGAAUAGGGCGCAUAAGUAACAGGUCGUAGACCCGAAACCAGGUGAUCUACCCAUGUCCAGGAUGAAGGUAAGGUAAUACUUACUGGAGGUCCGAACCCACGCACGUUGAAAAGUGCGGGGAUGAGGUGUGGGUAGCGGAGAAAUUCCAAUCGAACUUGGAGAUAGCUGGUUCUCUCCGAAAUAGCUUUAGGGCUAGCCUCGAGGUAAAGAGUCAUGGAGGUAGAGCACUGUUUGGACUAGGGGCCCUUCUCGGGUUACCGAAUUCAGAUAAACUCCGAAUGCCAUGUACUUAUACUCGGGAGUCAGACUGCGAGUGAUAAGAUCCGUAGUCGAAAGGGAAACAGCCCAGACCACCAGUUAAGGUCCCCAAAUAUAUGUUAAGUGGAAAAGGAUGUGGGGUUGCUUAGACAACCAGGAUGUUGGCUUAGAAGCAGCCACCAUUGAAAGAGUGCGUAAUAGCUCACUGGUCGAGUGACCCCGCGCCGAAAAUGUACCGGGGCUAAACAUAUU
Molecule: ribosomal RNA, 1156 nt
Filed under: Listeria monocytogenes
Lineage: Bacteria; Bacillati; Bacillota; Bacilli; Caryophanales; Listeriaceae
Description: partial 23S ribosomal RNA
Rfam family: Bacterial large subunit ribosomal RNA
Source: RNAcentral